GAGGCCUUAGUCUCCGGCGGAGCUCGGCCGUGGAAACCACCCGUGCAUCCCGGGCCGCACAUUGCUUCGUUAUGGCUACUUUCACGCUCGCUGUGUCUUCAGGAGGACCUCAGGCCGAGCGCGGGGGCCCGUAAUUGAGCACCACAUGAGGAGGAGCUUGGCAGUGCACGUCGCCGCCCGGGCCACCGCACUCGCCGCCCUCACGCCCACCGCGCCCACCGCGUCGUCCCUGGGCAUGCCACGACCACAAGCCUCAGCCAAGUGCGCGUCGCCGGAGCAGUGUGGGUCACAGAAGUGUUCUUUGGAGUCGUGUGAAUUGAAGACGAGUGGAUGGCGAGGCUGUGACCUUCUGGAAUGCCGCCUCCACGGAACGCCAUACGUACGUUAACUCCCACGCUUCACCCCCCUCUGUUCUGUCCCCCCUGGACCCCCCCGCGGGAACACCACACGUAGCGCCCUCCUCCGCGCUU
Molecule: long non-coding RNA, 470 nt
Organism: Penaeus monodon (black tiger shrimp)
Lineage: Eukaryota; Metazoa; Arthropoda; Malacostraca; Decapoda; Penaeidae
Exons: 2
Source: RefSeq, a predicted model, not a curated record